RNAcentral lists this transfer RNA (84 nucleotides) under Azospira sp. RNAcentral describes it as "tRNA-Leu". It matches the Rfam family "tRNA". From Rfam's summary of the family: Transfer RNA (tRNA) molecules are approximately 80 nucleotides in length. RNAcentral also lists the same sequence under 1 other name. The record is from RNAcentral. Lineage: Bacteria; Pseudomonadati; Pseudomonadota; Betaproteobacteria; Rhodocyclales; Rhodocyclaceae.
GCGGACGUGGCGGAAUUGGUAGACGCACCAGAUUUAGGUUCUGGCGCCCCUGGCGUGAGAGUUCGAGUCUCUCCGUCCGCACCA